Unclassified non-coding RNA from Stegodyphus dumicola, 737 nucleotides. The record is from RefSeq and is a predicted model, not a curated record. Lineage: Eukaryota; Metazoa; Arthropoda; Arachnida; Araneae; Eresidae.
UCCUCAUGGACGCAUUCAGACGAAGAAGCACCAGUAGUUAAAGACGAGUUCCUACCCAGGAUCACUGAAAAUGAAGACCUCUUGGCAAGUAUCAACAUUAGUUGUAGUAAUACUGGCGGCCAUUAUACUUGAAGUAUACUGCAGACCUUCAGAUGAAACUAACGGCAAACUCAGGGAAAGAAGACAAGCAGUGGAAGACAGACAGUUCAUAGGAGGCCUUUCUACUCUUGGAGCUCUCAUACAACCCAUACUUUUCAUGAUCGGUAUGGCUAACUUCAUGGGCCGGAUACCCAUGUUUUUCAAUAGAGUGCGCGAUCGAUUCAGUUCCACAUUAUCAGGAACAGGAGCCCCAGCCGGUGCAGGAAGGAAAAAGAGAUCUGUCGGGGGUGCUUUCGACGAUGACACUGAUGAAAAAUCACUCCGAGCCCUAAGAAUGUUAGACGAAGCCGAAGAAAAAUACAAUAUGAGGAGCUGAGCUCUGCGUCCGAUAAAUCUGAAGAAACAUGGAAAAUAUUGUGUGGAGCCACUGGGGUCAUCAGGUGUAAAAUAUUUGUGAAGGUUUCUCAUUUUGACCUGCUUCAAAAGUAUCUGGAGACGGAAGCAGUUGUGACUUUGGAGAUGGUACUCACCAGUUAAAUUUAAAAAAACUCGUUGAUCGAGGCACGCCAUUUUAUUUUUAAAUUUUCUAUUUUAUUGUGUACAUUGUCUUGUAAAUAAAGCAUCCUCAAUCUUUCUAA